AUGCACCACGCGUACACUGUGGCUGUGAGCGCCAUCCACGCCCACAUGACGACUGCUCGCUAUAUUUUAUUCGCC
This 75-nucleotide small RNA is filed under the name Xanthomonas prunicola. Its description in RNAcentral is "sX9 sRNA". It matches the Rfam family "Xanthomonas sRNA sX9". The record is from RNAcentral. Lineage: Bacteria; Pseudomonadati; Pseudomonadota; Gammaproteobacteria; Lysobacterales; Lysobacteraceae.